AAAACAAAGGGGCGAUACAAUAGAAUAGGCAAACACCCGAUCCCAUACCGAACUCGAAUUGUGAAACGAUUCUAUGCCUUAUGUACUGAUUUUUAUCUUUCGGGAGACGAGGUCCCCCUUUGUUUU
RNAcentral lists this ribosomal RNA (126 nucleotides) under Klebsormidium flaccidum. Lineage: Eukaryota; Viridiplantae; Streptophyta; Klebsormidiophyceae; Klebsormidiales; Klebsormidiaceae. The record is from RNAcentral.